Molecule: non-coding RNA, 24 nt
Filed under: Cricetulus griseus (Chinese hamster)
Lineage: Eukaryota; Metazoa; Chordata; Mammalia; Rodentia; Cricetidae
Source: RNAcentral
AGACGAAUAUAGAAACAGCAAGCG